UCCACGCCGUAAACGAUGUCAACUAGCCGUUGGGCCUAUAUACAGGUUUAGUGGCGGAGCUAACGUAUUAAGUUGACCGCCUGGGAGUACGGCCGCAAGGUUAAAACUCAAAUGAAUUGACGGGGCCCGACACAAGCGGUGGAGCAUGUGGUUUAAUUCGAUGCUAACGCGAAGAACCUUACCUACCCUUAGACAUCCAGAGAAUC
Molecule: ribosomal RNA, 206 nt
Filed under: uncultured bacterium
Lineage: Bacteria
Description: partial 16S ribosomal RNA
Rfam family: Bacterial small subunit ribosomal RNA
Source: RNAcentral